Molecule: ribosomal RNA, 484 nt
Filed under: uncultured bacterium
Lineage: Bacteria
Description: partial 16S ribosomal RNA
Rfam family: Bacterial small subunit ribosomal RNA
Source: RNAcentral
AUUGAACGCUGGCGGCAUGCCUUACACAUGCAAGUCGAACGGCAGCACGGGUGCUUGCACCUGGUGGCGAGUGGCGAACGGGUGAGUAAUACAUCGGAACAUGUCCUGUAGUGGGGGAUGGCCCGGCGAAAGCCGGAUUAAUACCGCAUACGAUCUACGGAUGAAAGCGGGGGACCUUCGGGCCUCGCGCUAUAGGGUUGGCCGAUGGCUGAUUAGCUAGUUGGUGGGGUAAAGGCCUACCAAGGCGACGAUCAGUAGCUGGUCUGAGAGGACGACCAGCCACACUGGGACUGAGACACGGCCCAGACUCCUACGGGAGGCAGCAGUGGGGAAUUUUGGACAAUGGGCGAAAGCCUGAUCCAGCAAUGCCGCGUGUGUGAAGAAGGCCUUCGGGUUGUAAAGCACUUUUGUCCGGAAAGAAAUCCUUGGCCCUAAUACGGUCGGGGGAUGACGGUACCGGAAGAAUAAGCACCGGCUAACUACG